Molecule: ribosomal RNA, 486 nt
Filed under: uncultured bacterium
Lineage: Bacteria
Description: bacterial SSU rRNA
Rfam family: Bacterial small subunit ribosomal RNA
Source: RNAcentral
GCAAGUCGAGCGGACCGAAGGGAGCUUGCUCCUUUAGGUUAGCGGCGGACGGGUGAGUAACACGUGGGCAACCUGCCCUGCAGACUGGGAUAACUUCGGGAAACCGGAGCUAAUACCGGAUAACACCGAAAACCGCAUGGUUUUCGGUUGAGAGGCGGCUUUUAGCUGUCACAGCAGGAUGGGCCCGCGGCGCAUUAGCUAGUUGGUGAGGUAACGGCUCACCAAGGCGACGAUGCGUAGCCGACCUGAGAGGGUGACCGGCCACACUGGGACUGAGACACGGCCCAGACUCCUACGGGAGGCAGCAGUAGGGAAUCUUCCGCAAUGGACGAAAGUCUGACGGAGCAACGCCGCGUGAGCGAAGAAGGUCUUCGGAUCGUAAAGCUCUGUUGUCAGGGAAGAACAAGUACCGUUCGAACAGGGCGGUACCUUGACGGUACCUGACGAGGAAGCCACGGCUAACUACGUGCCAGCAGCCGCGGUAAU